Long non-coding RNA from Carassius carassius (crucian carp), 521 nucleotides. RefSeq lists it as uncharacterized. The record is from RefSeq and is a predicted model, not a curated record. Lineage: Eukaryota; Metazoa; Chordata; Actinopteri; Cypriniformes; Cyprinidae. The transcript has 2 exons.
AGCACUAUGGGGGAUGGCCUAGAUCUUUAAUCCAAAUCAAAUAAUUGGGUCUCCACUGUCAAAAGUCACAGUUUCACUCAUUCGGCUCCUUGCUGUGCCAGGAGCAAUCGAGGCUUGAGAGGUGGGGGUGGGAGUAGAUCGGGGACUUUUAUCCCUGGGAAUUUGUAAUGGAUCCAUUAAGAGCAAUUCAUGGUUGUAUGCCGCACAACACUAAGUGAUAUUUGAAGGUGUGUGGCAGUCCAGUAUCCCACAAUAAGAUGAUGUGGGAACUCCACUCUGGGAAAAAGUCUUCAAAGAAAUAUAGAUACAAACCUGUUUGAAUGAGUCAUCGAGGCUCCAAUCAGCCAGUCCGUUUGGUGUGCUGAACGAUUGUUGGUCAGGAAGGGAGUCUUCAGGCUCGUCUUUCACCUUAGUGGUUGGCGACAGGGGACGUUUUUUAGCAGCGGAUGGCGAUGCGGCAUAGACAGGGAACGUAUACGGAGGAACUCCGACAGACGCUUGCUGGAGCGCAAGACUUUGCU